AGAGUUUGAUCAUGGCUCAGGACGAACGCUGGCGGCGUGCUUAACACAUGCAAGUCGAACGGAAAGGCCCUUCGGGGUACUCGAGUGGCGAACGGGUGAGUAACACGUGGGUGAUCUGCCCUGCACUUUGGGAUAAGCCUGGGAAACUGGGUCUAAUACCGAAUGGGACCACGCGCUUCAUGGUGUGUGGUGGAAAGCUUUUGCGGUGUGGGAUGGGCCCGCGGCCUAUCAGCUUGUUGGUGGGGUAAUGGCCUACCGAGGCGACGACGGGUAGCCGGCCUGAGAGGGUGACCGGCCACACUGGGACUGAGAUACGGCCCAGACUCCUACGGGAGGCAGCAGUGGGGAAUAUUGCACAAUGGGCGCAAGCCUGAUGCAGCGACGCCGCGUGAGGGAUGACGGCCUUCGGGUUGUAAACCUCUUUCAAUAGGGACGAAGCGCAAGUGACGGUACCUAUAGAAGAAGCACCGGCCAACUACGUGCCAGCAGCCGCGGUAAUACGUAGGGUGCGAGCGUUGUCCGGAAUUACUGGGCGUAAAGAGCUCGUAGGUGGUUUGUCGCGUUGUUCGUGAAAACUCACAGCUUAACUGUGGGCGUGCGGGCGAUACGGGCAGACUAGAGUACUGCAGGGGAGACUGGAAUUCCUGGUGUAGCGGUGGAAUGCGCAGAUAUCAGGAGGAACACCGGUGGCGAAGGCGGGUCUCUGGGCAGUAACUGACGCUGAGGAGCGAAAGCGUGGGGAGCGAACAGGAUUAGAUACCCUGGUAGUCC
This 771-nucleotide ribosomal RNA is filed under the name uncultured bacterium. RNAcentral's name for it is "bacterial SSU rRNA". It matches the Rfam family "Bacterial small subunit ribosomal RNA", at positions 8 to 796 of the family's 1533-position model. The record is from RNAcentral.